This is a long non-coding RNA of Epinephelus fuscoguttatus (brown-marbled grouper), 323 nucleotides long. RefSeq lists it as uncharacterized. NCBI's taxonomy places the organism in Eukaryota, Metazoa, Chordata, Actinopteri, Perciformes, Serranidae. The transcript has 3 exons. The record is from RefSeq and is a predicted model, not a curated record.
GAACAACUAUUGCAAGAUAGCCCUGCUCUUCCAGUUUAUGAAAAUGGGGAUGGUUGCCCAGUCAAGUGCAGGACACCUACUGUAUUGAGCCCAUCGAAGAAUUCUGGGAGAGGUACAGAGCUGAUGUAGUGACCCGCGUGCGCCAGAAGGAUCAAGUUGUCGUACUAGGAGAUGGCAGAAUGGACUCUCCAGGCCACAGUGCACAAUACUGCACUUAUACCACCAUUGAGCAGGAGUCCCGGGACAUUGUGCACAUUGUCACUGUCGACAAGAGGGAGACAGACCGCAAUUCUUCAAUCAUGGAGAAGGAGUGUUUCAUCCGA